Molecule: long non-coding RNA, 224 nt
Filed under: Mytilus galloprovincialis (Mediterranean mussel)
Lineage: Eukaryota; Metazoa; Mollusca; Bivalvia; Mytilida; Mytilidae
Source: RNAcentral
CAUUUACUCAACAAUAUACAUAACCAGAAGAAGCCUCCCUUUUGCUGUUUGAAGCAUUUUCGAUUAUUCAUGACAUAGUCCUUUUUCUUGGAGUCGAUCACUCCGUCUGCUUUUCCAUCCGUUCAAUUGUCUGUCCAUGUGUCAAUAAAAAAAAUAUGGUACUUGCCACAGGCACUUGUCUCAGAAAAAAAAUUUCCUAUAUACCUUAAUAUAGGAAAUUUUUU